RNAcentral lists this unclassified non-coding RNA (131 nucleotides) under uncultured fungus. Its description in RNAcentral is "sequence contains ITS1". Lineage: Eukaryota; Fungi. The record is from RNAcentral.
CCAGGUCGCGGCGGCCCAGAAGGAGGCUGAGGCGACAUUCAACCGGCGGUUUGCGAACCGCAACAGUUACGCGAUGGUGGAGACGAAGUCGAUCUUCUUCGACUUCAGCAAGGCGGAUCUGCGGGACGAGG